GAUGAAGAACGUAGCGAAAUGCGAUAAGUAAUGUGAAUUGCAGAAUUCAGUGAAUCACCGAAUCUUUGAACGCACAUUGCGCCCGCCAGUAUUCUGGCGGGCAUGCCUGUCUGAGCGUCAUUUCAACCCUCAUGCCCCUAGGGCGUGGUGUUGGGGAUCGGCCAAAGCCCGUGAGGGACGGCCGGCCCCUAAAUCUAGUGGCGGACCCGUCGUGGCCUCCUCUGCGAAGUAGUGAUAUUCCGCAUCGGAGAGCGAUGAGCCCCUGCCGUUAAACCCCCAACUUUCCAAGGUUGACCUCAGAUCAGGUAGGAAUACCCGCUGAACUUAAGCAUAUCAAUAAGCGGAGGA
This 348-nucleotide unclassified non-coding RNA is filed under the name soil metagenome. RNAcentral's name for it is "partial contains 5.8S ribosomal RNA, internal transcribed spacer 2, and large subunit ribosomal RNA". The stretch from base 1 to 120 matches the Rfam family "5.8S ribosomal RNA", at positions 35 to 154 of the family's 154-position model. The record is from RNAcentral.